UGCUCGACCCUAAACCCCCGAUUUUCCCCCCCCAUACCAAACUCCGCCAGAGAACUACACGCAUAAGCCAGAAACUCCAAGGACUUGACGGUGUCCUAACACCCUAGAGGAGCCUGUCCCAUAAUCGAUACCCCACGCUUAACCUCACCCCCCUUAGCACGCACAACCUAUAUACCGCCGUCGAAAGUCCACCUUGUGAGAGAACCUCCGUGGGCAAAACAGCACCACCCCUAAAACGUCAGGUCAAGGUGUAGUUAAUAGGGGGGGGCCACGAUGGGCUACACUCUUCAAAGUAAAGUGCUGUAAGAGCACCAUGAAACAUGCCCCCAAAGAAGGAUUUAGCAGUAAACCCAACAAGAAUGUUAGAUUGAAGCCACGCCCUAGGACGCGUACAC
This 395-nucleotide ribosomal RNA is filed under the name Gonatodes purpurogularis. RNAcentral describes it as "partial 12S ribosomal RNA". The stretch from base 50 to 395 matches the Rfam family "Bacterial small subunit ribosomal RNA", at positions 875 to 1388 of the family's 1533-position model. The record is from RNAcentral. Lineage: Eukaryota; Metazoa; Chordata; Lepidosauria; Squamata; Sphaerodactylidae.